UACAGAGGGUGCAAGCGUUGUUCGGAAUUAUUGGGCGUAAAGCGCGUGUAGGCGGCUUUGCAAGUCGGGUGUGAAAGCCCUCAGCUCAACUGAGGAAGUGCGCCCGAAACUGCAGAGCUUGAGUGCCGGAGAGGGUGGCGGAAUUCCCCCAAGUAGAGGUGAAAUUCGUAGAUAUGGGGGAGGAACACCGGUGGCGAAGGCGGCCA
Molecule: ribosomal RNA, 206 nt
Filed under: uncultured bacterium
Lineage: Bacteria
Description: partial 16S ribosomal RNA
Rfam family: Bacterial small subunit ribosomal RNA
Source: RNAcentral